UCCCUGGUGGUCCAGUGCUUUGGACGUGGCACUUUCACUGCCGUGGCCUGGGUUCAAUCCCUGGUGGGGGAA
Molecule: transfer RNA, 72 nt
Filed under: Bos taurus (domestic cattle)
Lineage: Eukaryota; Metazoa; Chordata; Mammalia; Artiodactyla; Bovidae
Also listed under: 1 other name
Rfam family: tRNA
About the family: Transfer RNA (tRNA) molecules are approximately 80 nucleotides in length. Their secondary structure includes four short double-helical elements and three loops (D, anti-codon, and T loops).
Source: Rfam by way of RNAcentral